This 238-nucleotide ribosomal RNA is filed under the name uncultured bacterium. RNAcentral's name for it is "partial 16S ribosomal RNA". It matches the Rfam family "Bacterial small subunit ribosomal RNA", at positions 96 to 334 of the family's 1533-position model. The record is from RNAcentral.
UGGCGGACGGGUGAGUAACGCGUGGGUAACCUGCCUCAUACAGGGGGAUAACAGUUAGAAAUGACUGCUAAUACCGCAUAAGACCAUAGCACCGCAUGGUGCAGGGGUAAAAACUCCGGUGGUAUGAGAUGGACCCGCGUCUGAUUAGGUAGUUGGUGGGGUAACGGCCUACCAAGCCGACGAUCAGUAGCCGACCUGAGAGGGUGACCGGCCACAUUGGGACUGAGACACGGCCCAA